CCAUAGCUCAGUUUUUACCUCAGCUGCACCAAAGGCAAUCUGUUUCCAGAAAAACAAUGAGGAAAAUAAUCUUGUGUGUUCUUGCUGUACUGCUUUGGUCACAAGCUGUGGAUGCUCUGGAAUGUUAUUAUUGUCCCAAUGGAGGAAACUGUUUUAGCACAACUACCUGCUCUGGUAAUCAAGACCAAUGUAUCACCAUAUUCU
Molecule: long non-coding RNA, 204 nt
Organism: Thamnophis elegans (Western terrestrial garter snake)
Lineage: Eukaryota; Metazoa; Chordata; Lepidosauria; Squamata; Natricidae
Exons: 3
Source: RefSeq, a predicted model, not a curated record